UUGUCUCUCGAGCUCAGAAGCGAGCGAG
RNAcentral lists this small RNA (28 nucleotides) under Bombyx mori (domestic silkworm). RNAcentral's name for it is "ovarian small RNA-38141". The record is from RNAcentral. Lineage: Eukaryota; Metazoa; Arthropoda; Insecta; Lepidoptera; Bombycidae.